AGUUUCAAGAUUACCUUAACUUCCGUUUCCUUCUUUGCUCUUCUCGUCUUUUUUUCUCGGCGUUUGCCAACUGUACGUAUUUCUUUCUUUGUUCCGGAGUCAUUUGUGUCCAUAAUUUUCCAGCUGCACGAGCAAUCACGGUUACGUGUUCCUUUGGCUUUUUACUCCGUAACCGUAGAAAGAAGAUGAUAAAAGGAUUAGUCGCACGACAUUUUAUUAUUUCUUUUCCACUGGUUCGGGAUUCGGAACCAUUUACAAAUUUUUUAGUUUUUCCUGGACGAUCACCUACGCUACCCAAAGGCCGCAUUACUUGACAAUUUUUUCCAAAAACUUCUCGUAAAAAGUGAAAUUGAAGUGACAUUGUCAAC
Molecule: unclassified non-coding RNA, 368 nt
Filed under: Bombus terrestris (buff-tailed bumblebee)
Lineage: Eukaryota; Metazoa; Arthropoda; Insecta; Hymenoptera; Apidae
Description: misc RNA ENSBTSG00005036021.1
Source: RNAcentral